UCUGUCCUGUCACAUGUGUGUAUAUUGAUUGAUAGGUGUACCCCCUCUGUCACAUGUGUGUUUAUUGAUUGAUAGGUUUACCCCCUGUGUGUUUAUUGAUUGAUAGGUGUACCCCCUCUGUUUGUAAAUGGUGCCGCUCACCUCUGUAUAUGUAUCCCUGUCUUGUCCUAUGUAGUUAGUGUAGUCUAGUCUUGUCUUGCUCUGGUAGAGAAUGUGUAAGUGUGGACUCAACAGCUGAAAUGUGUCCUCUGCUUUCGAGAGGCCAGGAGAAUUAUUUCUGAAUUAUUUUUUAAUUUAGUUUUCUUUGUUUUCACUUCACGGGUUGGCUUAUGGGAU
Long non-coding RNA from Clupea harengus (Atlantic herring), 336 nucleotides. Lineage: Eukaryota; Metazoa; Chordata; Actinopteri; Clupeiformes; Clupeidae. The record is from Ensembl.